CUCAGCAUCAUCAGCAUCCAGUGACGACGUCCAUGAGGAGAUGAAGGUGAGCCAGCCUUUCUGAUCAAAGCACCCGUCUAUAAAGCUCAAGGCUGGCCUUCCUCGGUGGUGAAAACUACUACUACAAAGCCAGCAGGGAAGAUGAGGGAGAAGAUGCGGGCCGAUACCAAACUACUGCAUCAACAAGAAAAACUUUACAAUGGCAGCUUGGAUGAGAUCCUCGGACCAAGAUAGGCAACAGAGAAAACCUGCACUAGCAUCGAGAAGCACAUUCCUGGAGUUGUGUUACUUUGAGCAUAACUGUCUG
Molecule: long non-coding RNA, 307 nt
Organism: Maylandia zebra (zebra mbuna)
Lineage: Eukaryota; Metazoa; Chordata; Actinopteri; Cichliformes; Cichlidae
Source: RefSeq, a predicted model, not a curated record